GGAGGGGUGUCCGAGUGGUUUAAGGAACCUGUCUUGAAAACAGGCGAGGUUCGCGCCUCCGUGGGUUCGAAUCCCACCCCCUCCG
This 85-nucleotide transfer RNA is filed under the name Armatimonadota bacterium. RNAcentral describes it as "Armatimonadetes bacterium (groundwater metagenome) tRNA-Ser". It matches the Rfam family "tRNA". Rfam says of the family: Transfer RNA (tRNA) molecules are approximately 80 nucleotides in length. Their secondary structure includes four short double-helical elements and three loops (D, anti-codon, and T loops). Lineage: Bacteria; Bacillati; Armatimonadota. The record is from RNAcentral.